AGUAGAUGUGGCUGCCGGAGAGGGGACUAGUAAGUCACCCACUGAACCAGCUAAUCAAAGUGAGGCUCCAGCUGAGCAUGCAUCAGAAACUUCCCCCAGUCCGGAAUAAAUAAGGGGGAGGAGAACUAUAUCCCCAGAGCCACCUAUUAAUGUUGUUGAUCAAGAUCUUAGAAAUGCAGUGCAACUUUUGACUUGUAUAGUUGCUGGGCAAGCUCAAAGGCAAGUCAUUC
RNAcentral lists this long non-coding RNA (230 nucleotides) under Capsicum annuum. RNAcentral describes it as "long non-coding RNA (CANN_LNC004435)". Lineage: Eukaryota; Viridiplantae; Streptophyta; Magnoliopsida; Solanales; Solanaceae. The record is from RNAcentral.